CCUACGGGGGGCAGCAGUGAGGAAUAUUGGUCAAUGGACGAGAGUCUGAACCAGCCAAGUAGCGUGAAGGAUGACUGCCCUAUGGGUUGUAAACUUCUUUUAUAUGGGAAUAAAAUGUUCCACGUGUGGGAUUUUGUAUGUACCAUAUGAAUAAGGAUCGGCUAACUCCGUUCCAGCAGCCGCGGUAAUACGGAGGAUCCGAGCGUUAUCCGGAUUUAUUGGGUUUAAAGGGAGCGUAGGUGGAUUGUUAAGUCAGUUGUGAAAGUUUGCGGCUCAACCGUAAAAUUGCAGUUGAAACUGGCAGUCUUGAGUACAGUAGAGGUGGGCGGAAUUCGUGGUGUAGCGGUGAAAUGCUUAGAUAUCACGAAGAACUCCGAUUGCGAAGGCAGUUCACUGGACUGCAACUGACACUGAGGCUCGAAAGUGUGGGUAUCAAACAGGAUUAGAUACCCGUGUAGUC
RNAcentral lists this ribosomal RNA (460 nucleotides) under uncultured bacterium. Its description in RNAcentral is "partial 16S ribosomal RNA". It matches the Rfam family "Bacterial small subunit ribosomal RNA", at positions 338 to 795 of the family's 1533-position model. The record is from RNAcentral.